UGGGGAAUAUUGGACAAUGGGCGAAAGCCUGAUCCAGCCAUGCCGCGUGUGUGAAGAAGGUCUUCGGAUUGUAAAGCACUUUAAGUUGGGAGGAAGAGCAGUCACCUAAUACGUGAUUGUUUUGACGUUACCUACAGAAUAAGCACCGGCUAACUCUGUGCCAGCAGCCGCGGUAAUACAGAGGGUGCAAGCGUUAAUCGGAAUUACUGGGCGUAAAGCGUGCGUAGGUGGUUUGUUAAGUUGAAUGUGAAAUCUCCGCGCCCAACCUGGGAACUGCAUCCGAAACUGGCGGGCUAGAGUAUGGUAGAAGGUAGUGGAAUUUCCGGUGUAGCGGUGAAAUGCGUAGAUAUAGGAAGGAACGCCAGUGGCGAAGGCGACUAACUGGGCUGAUACUGACGCUGAAGUACGAAAGCGUGGGGAGCAAACA
Molecule: ribosomal RNA, 427 nt
Filed under: uncultured bacterium
Lineage: Bacteria
Description: bacterial SSU rRNA
Rfam family: Bacterial small subunit ribosomal RNA
Source: RNAcentral